GAUGAACGCUGGCGGCGUGCCUAAUACAUGCAAGUCGAGCGAACGGACGAGAAGCUUGCUUCUCUGAUGUUAGCGGCGGACGGGUGAGUAACACGUGGAUAACCUACCUAUAAGACUGGGAUAACUUCGGGAAACCGGAGCUAAUACCGGAUAAUAUUUUGAACCGCAUGGUUCAAAAGUGAAAGACGGUCUUGCUGUCACUUAUAGAUGGAUCCGCGCUGCAUUAGCUAGUUGGUAAGGUAACGGCUUACCAAGGCAACGAUGCAUAGCCGACCUGAGAGGGUGAUCGGCCACACUGGAACGGGGACACGGUCCAAACUCCUACGGGAGGAAGCGGUGGGGAAUCUUCCGCAAGGGGCGAAAGCCUGACGGAGCAACGCCGCGUGGGUGAUGAAGUUCUUCGGAUCGUAAAACUCUGUUAUUAGGGAAGAACAUAUGUGUAAGUAACUGUGCACAUCUUGACGGUACCUAAUCAGAAAGCCACGGCUAACUACGU
RNAcentral lists this ribosomal RNA (496 nucleotides) under uncultured bacterium. Its description in RNAcentral is "partial 16S ribosomal RNA". It matches the Rfam family "Bacterial small subunit ribosomal RNA", at positions 28 to 506 of the family's 1533-position model. The record is from RNAcentral.